Non-coding RNA from Taeniopygia guttata (zebra finch), 706 nucleotides. The record is from RefSeq and is a predicted model, not a curated record. Lineage: Eukaryota; Metazoa; Chordata; Aves; Passeriformes; Estrildidae.
UUCUGGUGAGGAUCCUUUGAGCCUGGGGGCCAAUCCAACCCACCUGGGGCUGGAAUCUCAGAGAGGGUCACGAGUUGUGAGGAGUCAGAUUUGGGAGUUAGGAAAAGCAGGUUUGUAGUUCUAGUGUCUCCUUUAAACAGUAUAUUAUUAGAAAAAAGCAGGUUUGAAGUUUUAGUAUCUCCUUUAAAUACUAUAUUAAUAGAAAAAGUAGGUUUGUAAUUGUUGUAUCUCCUUUAAAUAGUAUAUUGUUGCUGUCGAGGCAGGACAGGAAUGAAUAGACUUGACUCAGAAGGCUGUGAGAGUAAGACUCCGAUUUAUUCAAAACACCCCACUCUUUUAUACAGAGCUUCAUGAGGACCAACUCCAUUGGUUCUGAAGCUAAAACAACCACACCACUGGUGCAGAGUGCUUGACGCACAGUGAUAGAACUUAACUAUAAACAAUGUGAAAAACAAGAGAGAUAAAGAAUUAUUUAUGUUCUUCUCCAGAUCUUUCCCAGGCUCCUACCUGGCUAGAAACUCUCAGUUUCUUUCUUUGACUGAAUCUGAGUCACACAGUAUAUUAAUAGAAAAAGCAGGUUUGUAGUUUUAGUAUCUCCUUUAAAUAGUAUAUUAACAGAAAAGGCGGGUUUGAAGUUUUAGUGCCUCCUUUAAACAGUAUAUUAACAGAAAAAGCAGGUUUGCAGUUUUAGUAUCUCCUUUAAAUA